CCUACGGGAGGCAGCAGUGAGGAAUCUUGGUCAAUGGUCGGGAGACUGAACCAGCCAAGCCGCGUGAGGGAGGAAGGUACAGAGUAUCGUAAACCUCUUUUGUCAGGGAACAAAGGCGGGGACGUGUCUCCGGAUGAGUGUACCUGAAGAAAAAGCAUCGGCUAACUCCGUGCCAGCAGCCGCGGUAAUACGGAGGAUGCGAGCGUUAUCCGGAUUUAUUGGGUUUAAAGGGUGCGCAGGCGGUUGGUUAAGUUAGCGGUGAAAGCCCGGGGGCUAACCCCCGCAGCGCCUUUGAAACUGGCAGUCUCGAGUUGGAGAGAGGUAUGCGGAAUGCGCGGUGUAGCGGUGAAAUGCAUAGAUAUCGCGCAGAACUCCGAUUGCGAAGGCAGCAUGCCGGCUCCACACUGACGCUGAGGCACGAAAGCGUGGGUAUCGAACAGGAUUAGAUACCCUUGUAGUC
RNAcentral lists this ribosomal RNA (460 nucleotides) under uncultured bacterium. Its description in RNAcentral is "partial 16S ribosomal RNA". It matches the Rfam family "Bacterial small subunit ribosomal RNA", at positions 338 to 795 of the family's 1533-position model. The record is from RNAcentral.